ACCAUCAAGCCUGGCUUGUCGUUGGACCCUUUUUACCGCUGAAAUAUGUGGUAGGUCCGAAAGAUAAUGACGGCGUCGUGUUUGACCCUAGAUGCAACGAGCUUUUUAUAGCACGCAUUGAAGUGGUCGACCGACCCGGUCUUUAACCAUCAUUUUCUAAGGUUGACCUCGGAUCAGGUAGGAAUACCCGCUGAACUUAA
RNAcentral lists this unclassified non-coding RNA (200 nucleotides) under soil metagenome. RNAcentral's name for it is "partial contains internal transcribed spacer 2 and large subunit ribosomal RNA". The record is from RNAcentral.